GUUUGACCUCGGGUCAGGUAGGAAUACCCGCUGAACUUAAGCAUA
RNAcentral lists this ribosomal RNA (45 nucleotides) under Ilyonectria sp. RNAcentral describes it as "partial 28S ribosomal RNA". Lineage: Eukaryota; Fungi; Ascomycota; Sordariomycetes; Hypocreales; Nectriaceae. The record is from RNAcentral.